UGGGGAAUUGUUCACAAUGGGCGCAAGCCUGAUGACGCAACGCCGCGUGGGGGAUGAAGGUCUUCGGAUCGUAAACCCCUGUCGAAUGGGACGAAAGACUCGCGAGUGAAUACUUCGCGAGAGUGACGGUACCGUUAAAGGAAGCCACGGCUAACUCUGUGCCAGCAGCCGCGGUAAUACAGAGGUGGCAAGCGUUGUUCGGAAUUACUGGGCGUAAAGGGCGCGUAGGCGGCCCUCUAAGUCAGACGUGAAAUCCCCCGGCUUAACCUGGGAACUGCGUCUGAUACUGGAGGGCUUGAGUAUGGGAGAGGGAUGUAGAAUUCCAGGUGUAGCAGUGAAAUGCGUAGAGAUCUGGAGGAACACCGAUGGCGAAGGCAGCCCCCUGGGCUAACACUGACGCUCAUGCACGAAAGCGUGGGGAGCAAACAGGAUUAGAUACCCCUGUAGUCCCUGAGCGGGCUGGCAAGGCGCAU
RNAcentral lists this ribosomal RNA (473 nucleotides) under uncultured bacterium. Its description in RNAcentral is "bacterial SSU rRNA". It matches the Rfam family "Bacterial small subunit ribosomal RNA", at positions 355 to 825 of the family's 1533-position model. The record is from RNAcentral.